This 2540-nucleotide unclassified non-coding RNA is filed under the name Neodiprion lecontei (redheaded pine sawfly). RNAcentral describes it as "esterase E4-like, transcript variant X2". Lineage: Eukaryota; Metazoa; Arthropoda; Insecta; Hymenoptera; Diprionidae. The record is from RNAcentral.
AUAAAAUAACUCAGGCUGGUCUCUUUGGCGAGCAUCACUUCGUGACAGACAAUAAUCAUGUUUGUGUGUAAAAUUGGCUCGCGCUCGUGCUGUUAUAUAGCAGCCGCGUGUCUGCUAGUGGCUCUUUUGCUAAUCGCUUUCCUGACAAUCUUUGGUGUUAUUCCAAUUAAAAAUGGGGACAUUCCCGCUGGCGAGGAUUGGAUGCGUCCGGAAACGACGAUACCUCAAGGAAGACUCAGAGGUAUAAAUAUGGCCACACACCGUGGCAGAAGAUUCUCUGCCUUCAUUGGAGUUCCGUUUGCCGAGCCACCGAUUGGAGAUCUUAGGUUUAAACAAGCUGUACCAGCGGGUCCUUGGAACGGGACUCUAGAUACCGGCCGCAUGCCUAACGCAUGUAUUCAGAACGAGAAUAAGCUCAUGGGGGAUGAGGACUGCCUCUAUCUUAAUGUCUAUACGCCGAAGCUUCCUAGUAGCCAAAAUGCUACGUUACUGCCAGUGAUGGUCUACAUCUAUGGUGGACAAUUCAGGUUUGGAACGAGCACUCCUGACCGAUGGAGUCCAGAAUUUCUUCUUAAUAAGGACGUGGUUCUCGUAGUUCCGAACUAUCGUUUCGGAAUACUCGGAUUUUUGAGUACCGGCGACGAAGUAUCGCCUGGAAAUAAUUUACUAAAAGAUAUAGCUGAGGCUUUGAGAUGGACCCAACGAAAUAUCAAGUAUUUCGGUGGUGAUCCAAAUCAAGUAACUAUCUUCGGUGGAAGUUCAGGCGCUGCCAGCGUUCGCCUUUUAACCUUAUCUCCUUUAACAAAAGGACUCUUUCACCAAUUCAUGACACACAGUACACCGCAACUCUAUCCUCCUGUUCCUGAACCGUAUUCGGUGGCCGCCACGCGUGCCACGAAGUUGGGCGAAUACCUUGGUUGUCCAACCAACACGUCAACCACCCUUGUUAACUGUCUCAGGACUUUCAAUGGGUCAUACUUGUACGAAACAGACGUGCUGUUGAGGGAUGUAAGGACGGCCAGCCCUACUGUUUGGUAUCCUGUAGUCGAACCUGACGUAGAAGGUGCACUUUUUACGGAUACUCCAGCGAAUAUCAUUGCCAAUGGAGAACAGCAUGAUUUGCCGUGGGUGGCCCUUGUAACUAAGGAAGAAGGAAUUGUUGUAACUGCAGUGUACUAUGAUAGGCCAGACUUGUUCCAGCAAGUUUUAGACAACAUUGACUCUCACCUAAUCAGUUUCUUGAGACACGACGUUUGGUCAGCCGAUGUCGAUGCCCAAACUGCUGCUCUGAAGUCUCGUUACUUGAACGAUCUAACUGCCGACAGAAAAUUGCUACUGCACAAUUUGACUGACAUCAUAACCGAUUACGAGUUCACCUACCAUAUUUACAACGAGGUCAAACAACAUGCAAACAACUCUGCUUACAAGAGUCCCGCAUACCUUUGCACUUUUGACUACCGAGGCACUUUCAGCUAUAGCUACAAGUUUAGUGAUGGUAACACGGAGAAUUGGGGCGCGGCGCACGGAGACGAGCUGAUUUACCUCCUUCCUGGACCAAGGGAAAUGUUUGCGCCACCAGGCUAUGAAUUUAGUGAGACUGACAUGAAAGUGACCGACGCUAUGGUGGAGCUAUGGACAUCGUUUGCUAUCAAUGGGUUGCCGAAUACUGCAGCUCUCAAUGACAACGCGAUUUGGGAACCAUUCUCAUCAGACGAAAAAUAUCUUCAGAUCGGUAAUGACAGCGAUCCUGGAAUUCAGGUUAAAAGUGGUUUUCACGAAGAGCGAAUGCAGUUUUGGGAAAGAUUCUUUGCUGCUAAAAAGUAGAUUUAGUUUGAACUGCGGUUCCCAAUCAGAAUUCGUAUUCUCUGUUUUAAAAUAGUUUUUUGUGACUUGCCCGUCGGAGAAAGUGAAAGUGAUAUAGGAAUAAAUAUUUGAUGCCUAUCUUAGAACGCAAUGUACAGAACUUGGUUUCAAUACCUGAUAAUGAUAAUAUUAUCGCAUAAUGCGUAGUGGCAGUAGAUUUUUUAUUGAUCCAUCACCCACAUGUCAUACAUACAGCGUUCGGUAUCAUUGUCAGUGUUCCAUUGAGUAAUAUCAACCUGUGCCCUGGGAUGUUUAUUUGUGGCAUUGAAAGUAUGGCUUGGUCGUUUUCAGUUAUAGUGAGCAUCGAUUUUAUUCAAGGUAUUUGAAUUCGUGUCUGAAAAAAAGGAUUACCAUGUCAGUAUUACGUGUUUUUAAAAUUUUUGGAUGUGAUCUGAAAAAAAGCUGAAACGUAUUUAGAAUAUAAAAAUAAUGAAACGAUUAGUCAAACUUACAGCGCGCUCUCUGUGCGAAAAUCUGCAAGACUGAUGCCCAGCGGAUUUCCGUCAGUAAGUGCCGGCAGUGCACAGCGAGUCAGUCGGAAACUUUGACGUAUAACACUCGAUUUCUCUCGCUGUCCCAAUGCGCUGCGAUCAACGCAUCAGGAGUUACAGCCAAAAAAUGAGAACCAGUGUUUUCAACAUAUUUCAGCAGGUACAACCCGAGGUGGUUAUCGGUGG